GUGCUUGCUUUGGCAGCACAUGUACUAAAAUUGGAAUGAUACAGAGAAGAUUAGCGUGGCCCCUGCACAAGGAUGACAUGCAGAUUCAUGAAGCCUUCCAUAUUAAG
Small nuclear RNA from Phacochoerus africanus (Common warthog), 107 nucleotides. Lineage: Eukaryota; Metazoa; Chordata; Mammalia; Artiodactyla; Suidae. The record is from RefSeq and is a predicted model, not a curated record.